CAAUAGCAUAUAUUAACGUUGUUGCAGUUGAAAAGCUCGUAGUUGAACUUUUGGUAGGAGCGACCUGGCCUUGGGCGCAUGCCCUUGUUUGCCGUGUGUCGUGUCUGGCCAUCCUUUUCCGCUUCGGCGGGAACCUUUUACUGUGAGUAAACUGGAGUGCUCAAAACAAGACGUUUGUUUGGUACAUUAAAGCAUGGAAUAAUAAGAUAGGACCUGGUUACUAUUUUGUUGGUUUGCAUAGCUAGGUAAUGAUUAACAGGGACAGUUGGGGGUAUUCGUAUUUAAUUGUCAGAGGUGAAAUUCUUGGAUUUAUGAAAGACGAACGACUGCGAAAGCAUUUACCAAGGAUGUUUUCAUUAA
RNAcentral lists this ribosomal RNA (360 nucleotides) under uncultured eukaryote. RNAcentral's name for it is "partial 18S ribosomal RNA". It matches the Rfam family "Eukaryotic small subunit ribosomal RNA", at positions 592 to 976 of the family's 1831-position model. The record is from RNAcentral.